GCUGGACAUGAUUUGUCUCAGUUCUCAAGAAUGACUGAUGUAAUAGUGCGACAUUUGCAAAAUUUGAUAUCUUACUUUACAUUUCAGACAUGGAUGGUUAGGGUUAGAGGAUGAUUUUGAAUUUAACAACAGGAAAUAAAAUUUGGCUGGUGUGCAAGACAGGAUUUAUCAUAUAGAAAGGCUGUAGCAAAAUUUUAGAGCAUUAGUUUUUUGAGUGGAUGGAUUCAGAAUUUUUGGCUUCCCUGUAUAUCGCAGCUGCUGCUGUAAUGUACAGUACUUUAGUAAACUUUAUUUUUACACUCUAAAAAACGCUGGGUUGUUUUUUCUACCCAAGCGCUGGGUUGCCUCUGUUGGGUCAUUUUUCUGGGUUAUUUACAGAGAGUUGGGUAGUUUUUGUGUAACCCAGCUGCUGGGUUGAAGUUUGAUUGGCUCCUCCCCCAAAGUUCACCGGUGGAUUCAGCGGCUGUCAGUCAGAGCUUCGUGUCUCUCUUGAGCUCCCACACCGCUGAUGACGGUUCAUUUAAGGGAAAAUGAGUUAAAUACAAGGUUGGCAUCAACAUGGUGGAAUACCUCCAGCAGGCUGAAGUGUCAAGGCCGUACCCCUACUGUACAUCCUGACGUUGGGAGAUGAUGACCAGCGCUGCUCUCAGGCAUUCGUCAUUCUGGUGGGACAGGCUCUGGAGCAAUGCACACUACUUGGGGCGGUUAAUGUGUGCUUCAAGGCAUUUUAUAUUUUUGACAUUAACUAUUUAAAGCAGUGUGCUCCUGUAUAGGACUUUUUGUAAUGUUGCUAUGAAAUAGCGAGGCCUACUUGAAAAGUCAUAGACAGUGUUUGUAUGUUAAAACGGAACCAGGGCUGGAUAGUUUUGUUCUGCAGAAAAGAUAUCUAAAGUCACAGAGAGAUCCUGCUCUGUAGAAGCUGCCUCAGCCUAUUUGUGUUAUUACUCCAUUCUGCCCUUGUGAGUAAUAGUAUAGUAAUGAUGUCGCUGUUGAUUAUCUGUUCUUGUGCUUUUGAAAAAUAAACGUUUUUUCUAUGAACAUUUAA
Molecule: long non-coding RNA, 1045 nt
Organism: Clarias gariepinus (North African catfish)
Lineage: Eukaryota; Metazoa; Chordata; Actinopteri; Siluriformes; Clariidae
Exons: 2
Source: RefSeq, a predicted model, not a curated record